Poecilia latipinna (sailfin molly) is the source of this 2252-nucleotide long non-coding RNA. RefSeq lists it as uncharacterized. The transcript has 2 exons. Lineage: Eukaryota; Metazoa; Chordata; Actinopteri; Cyprinodontiformes; Poeciliidae. The record is from RefSeq and is a predicted model, not a curated record.
UUCCGGCCAAAAUUAUUCAUACCCCUGGUAGGUUUAUGUUGAAACCCGUCUUUUAAUUUGACCAACAUGUUUUUUUUUUUUUUUUCUCAGACUGGAAAUAAUUUUAAGGUUUGAAAGCAGCCUGAGUGCCUAAAGAUUAGGGUGAUGGCAACAAGGUAUAAAUUGUCAAUAUACCAGUGGAAAUGUGCAAAAAGUGAUCAGCAAUUAUAAGUAGCAUUUGAUUGGUGUCAUGCUGUUAAAAAAAUCUCUAAUGAUUGAGAACAGUAUAAGUAAUGUUUUAUAUUGAUCUAUCAAAUAUACAUAUUAAUUAGAGGUGAAUAAAGAGCUUUCUUUCAAAAAUAACCUUCUUGGUCAAGUGAAAAUAAUGUUCUGUCUAAACUUGCCAGUGUAUGAACGGUUUGGGACUUUGUAAAUUGGAUUUCCUCUGUCCACCUAAGUGAACAACAUGGAUUUGGAAAUUUAAACACACAUGCGACAAGUAAUUACAUGAAACCCUGAAUGCAAACUUUAAAAUAAUGUAAAAACAUUGUUAAAGCUGCAUAUUCCACCAUUUUCCAGUAUUGUUCAGUCUAAGCAUAAAACCCUCGACUCCCUGACCCUCCAGCUGGUGCCAUUUGCAUGCUCCUGUCUCCUUCAUUCAUUAUUUAGCUUUUUGUUUUGAAACCUUCAAACACUUCACAUUCAGUACAAACAACAAACUAAUUGCUCAUUUCGAUAUUUACAAUGCACGGUUAUUACAACCAGGGGAUUUCAAUAUCUGAUAUUCUGCUUUCUUUUAUUCCUAAAACUAAUCUCUGGAAUAUUUCAGCACAGUCACCUGUUUCAGUCCUUUCUUUUGUAACAUUCAUAACAUGUUAGCAGUGUGUCUAGGAUAACCUUCAUUUGACUUAGGUAUUAUUUAAUUAGCUGUACCUGGAGAUCAUUCAGUCAUGUGAUUCAGUCUUAUGAAAUAAUAAUAAAAAAUAUUCUGAAUGUAAAAAUUACCCCCUCAGUUUUAUGUAAGCUGUAAUUUAGUUCAGUCUAAUUUUAUGAAAUACAUUUUGCAACUACUGCUGUUGAGGUUUUCUCAAGAACUGAUGGUAGAAAUAUGAGGUCAGAUUUUGCCGUCCAUUUGAGCGGAUAGUUAACUACAAUUUCCUCAGAACAUAAAAUGCUUACAAAUGUUUCUCACCUGGGUCUUUUGGCACAUUAAUGUGUUCUUUGAAGCUUUUUUUUUGCACAACUUUCACAAUGCUGUUGUAAAUUGCACCUAAUUCGGUCAGGUUUUAAACGGGAUUCUUGUACAGUUGUGCUGUUAACUUUCUUAUUUGUAUGUUGAGGACUGAAGCAAUUAAAAAAUCUGAAAAAAUAUACUGAUACAAAAAAAAAUUCUACCUUUCAAGCUAUAAAAAAGCCUUUUUGUGUCCGGGGGACACAGGUGGAGAAUAAAAUUAAGGGACCCCAGAGGUUUAAACGAUAUUUCAAAGCUUUCAGAGACCUUGUGAAGAGCUGUUCACAAUUUAAGUGCAAUACUCCAGAUGGAUUUGAAGAUACAAGCAUUAAAUUAAAUUGUGAACUUAUGAAAAGACAUAGAGAUGGGUUUCACAUUUACAGGUUUGUCAGUCAGAACAGGUGAGGAUUUUGUUUAAACAAAAUUACUUUAUAGGAUCUAUUUUCUGUAGCUAAAACAAAUGAGCAAUAGUUAAUCUUGGUGCUAAAAUUGAGUCAUAUUUGAAAUAAUGUAAUGUACAUCCUUUGGUUGCAGUUAUUUUGAUUCAAAUACACAAUUUGACUUGAGAAAAAAAAAAAAAAAAAAAAAUCAAGCUAAACCUCAUUGUAGCUUUAUUUGUUGCGUUUAAUGCUCUGAAUUGAAUGCCUCUCUGUCGUUCUUUUUUUAAUGGGUCUAACACAAGUAUAGCAAGCUGAGGUUAAUCCAGCUGCUUUACCUGCAAGUCUCUGAAAGUUGCACCACCAUGACUGUAUUUUUCAUGACAGGAAUUGUUCCAGAACACCCAGAUUUCUGGCUUUUUCUCAGCCAGCUGGCUAGCAGUGCUCAGCGAUGGCUCAGAAAGGGCAAGGGUUUUGUUACUCUGUGCCUCAAAUAGCUUCAGAACAGUCAGGUCACUCUUGCUCUUUUUUUUCUGGGAUCUCAUUAAGCUGACUUUAAGUGGCAGACGCACUAUAACGGAAAAUUUCAGCAGACUUGAGAAAAGUGUUUUUAAGACCUCAGUCAAUUUUAAUCCCAACUGGCAAAGUCAGGAUGAUAAAAAAAA